AGGUACGAAUAAGUAGAUUGAUGAAAUA
RNAcentral lists this small RNA (28 nucleotides) under Bombyx mori (domestic silkworm). RNAcentral describes it as "ovarian small RNA-12234". Lineage: Eukaryota; Metazoa; Arthropoda; Insecta; Lepidoptera; Bombycidae. The record is from RNAcentral.